UAUAAUGGUUAACUAGCCAAACAGUAAAUUCACACACUAUUUAGCACUGUUAAAUGAUUUCUAAGAGAGUGACAACUGUCCUCUGUAGUUUUGUUUUUUUCUUCGGUGACAUGCAGUGGAUAACCGUAGCAUUUGAUUGGCUGAUAACACCAUCACAUGGAUUGCCUUUCACUGAUCAGCCAAAUGUUUUUAUUUCAAAUUCUAAACAAAACUCAUGAGCGGGAAUUUUCCCGCAAAAUUUUUUGAAUGAGUUUUAAACUUUUAAUCUUCUUCAAAAAAAAUUUCGAAUACAUUAUUUCUCUCUCUCCCCCUUUCUUUUUCCUCAAUUUGUUUCUCUCUCAAUUCAAUCUCACAACCAUUCACGAUUAGAGAAAAUACAGAAGCAAAAAGGAAGACUGGCGUGAGUUGAAUAAGAGGGAAAAGGGAAAGGUCUGCAAGUUUGACGGUGUUGUAGUUGGUUGGUAUGCAUGUUGAGGUUGGUGAACGAAUCCUUCUGUGGAGAGGAGGCUGAGACCCUCCUGCAGCAGCGGCGGGUUUUGCCUUGGGAGUCGUGUUUAACCGAAGCACGACGCUGUGUUUGCUUUUGAUUUUACCUGCUUAGUGUUUCGGUGGAAUAGCUGCUGCAUUCAAACUUUGGUUCGGGUUGUGGAUCUUUUGGUAAUGUGAAGGCUGAUGAGGUUUUUGAAGACAUUGUUGCUGUUGUUCAUUGAGCUUUGAGAAGUUCUUCAUCACUCAAGGUCUCUAAAGAUGGUUUUGCACAUAUACCAACAAGUUGCAGCUUAAAGAGUUGUCGUAAUUGAUUCUGUAAUUCAUGGGUAAAAACAGAUUUUUCAUGUUUAGUGGACAGAGUGAUGGAAAAGAAUGACGUUUCUUUGGUUUCAUCCGGUGAUAAAUUAAGUUACUAUAUUGAGUGAUUAGAGGAGCUCGAGUCUUUUGCAGGUAGACAAGAUAGAAUCAUUUACAACGAAAAGCACAUUGACAAUUUUGGUAUUGUUCACCUAAAGGCAUAUAUGAAUGAGUUGUCAUAGAUGUCACCCCUAUUUUUUAGAGCAAGAAUUAGUUCAUAGAAUACAAAGUGUGUCAUACCUUUAAGGUAUAUAUUUCUUUUUAUUUUUUUUUUGAAGUGUUUUUUUUGUUGGUUCUGUGAAUAUGAUGUUUCAUGAACAUAAAUAAGUAAUCCUGAUUCAUAUCUCUGAUCUGAGUCUUAUUGCCCUGUAUAAUGGAGAGUCGCAAAGAAAAAUUACACAAUUUGGUUUUGCAGAGCAAGAUUAAUGAAACAAAGGAUGUUAUGAAGCGUAAAGCUUAUGAGAUUGAUAAUAAUAAUGUGGUAGGUGGAGGUUUUUCGUUUUCAUUUUGUUCUGUUAAGUAAAUAAAUAAAUUAUUUAUUUAAAUUUUGGAGGUGCAUGUCAUUUAACUAAAUACUCUCCAUGUACUCUAACUAAGUAUCCUUACUUCUUUUUUAUGUUCUAAAAUAAUUAACAUCAAUCACACUCAUGGAUCAUCAUUCUAAUAGAUAUAACAACUUGGAAUUUCACUGGUGAAAUCCUGAAAGAGCAGCAAGAAACUGCUGCAUAGAUAGUGUUUGUUGAUAGUCCAUAUAAUUUAGGAAACCAUCUUAAUUCAAUGAAUUUAGUUCAUCUAGGUUUGGUAGUAAACUAGCAAGUGAUUCACUCCUAACUUCCAGCAAACUAAUGAGAGGUGCACCAACAUAGCUUGAUAGCAAAAAUGAUUUUGAAAGUGGUUGUAAUAUGAUGUCAUAUAUUUCUUGGCUUCUGUUAUACAUGUAUUCACUUUUUAUUUGAAAAAGUUAGGUUUGCUCCAUGUCCAUAAUAGAUGUUAUUGUUACUUUUGAAUCAUGGACAGGGAGGAAACAACUUUUGUUAUCCAAACACAGACGGAUAAAAACAUAAAUUAGGACCUAAGAGGAGCCUUUUAACAUUAUUUUAAUUAUUACUCCGAUGCAUGUUGGCAUGUGUGGUUUAGAUUGGAAAAAUGGAGAUAUUGUUAUGGGGAAAAUGGUAAACCCAUAAGUCCAUAACCAUUUAUAAGUUUGUCAACUGAAGUUUAGUUCUUUGUUUUGAAAAAUAGUGUAUAGAGUUGUCAAAGAUGUCACCCUCCGCUCCAAUUUGUUUUUUGUUUUUUUGAUCCACAUGUUAAUGAAUUUGAAUUCUGAAACAAUUUAGAGCAUACAAAAUGCUAUCUUUUAUGAGCAGCAAGAGGAACAUUUACUGUGCAACUUGAACUAUUUGUAGUUGCCAAGUCAAAUAGAGAUAGAACUUCUUUGAUUAUUUGCUUUUGGUGUUACUUUUAGUGCUAAUGUUUCACAUGUAUUAAGGACUACAUUAGCUGUUUCCUUACUCAUUUACUCUCUAAAAUGUUGUGCAAUUAUAGUGGUUCAUUAUUUUUCAUUUUUGAUUGAGGAGUUGUUUUUGUGAUGUAGAUGGAGCAUGAAAAAUGUGAUUUUGAUGUCAAUGAUUAUGGUGAGGAGGAUGAGGAGGAACAAGAGGAAGAAAAUGGAGAGGAGAGAACACUUGAGGAAGACCAAAGUGGAUGAAAUAAUGAUGAGAUGGAAUAAUUUGAGAAAGUGUAUAAAGAUCUUUAUCACCAGGAGCUAUAGCAAUUAUUAACCUUUUAUUCUUAACAUUGAUUCAUGUAGUGUAGUUUUAAUAAUAUUUGAUUCCAUCAUAUUUUCAGUUGUUUUAAUAGGUACAUGUGUAAGGACAUUAAGAAGAGUAUUUAUAAUUUGUGAUCAAGACAUGGCUGGUAGCCUCAUUGAUGAACUAAAUGAAUACCAGAUUUUUGAUCGAGUCCUCCCUUCCUCCUUUUAUUCCUUGCUU
Molecule: long non-coding RNA, 2837 nt
Organism: Arachis duranensis
Lineage: Eukaryota; Viridiplantae; Streptophyta; Magnoliopsida; Fabales; Fabaceae
Exons: 5
Source: RefSeq, a predicted model, not a curated record